This is a long non-coding RNA of Oreochromis niloticus (Nile tilapia), 1846 nucleotides long. RefSeq lists it as uncharacterized. The record is from RefSeq and is a predicted model, not a curated record. Lineage: Eukaryota; Metazoa; Chordata; Actinopteri; Cichliformes; Cichlidae. The transcript has 3 exons.
CCCAGCUCCACCAGGCUGUGAGGGUACCCUGGCUCAGCCGUGACCUCCCUGAACACCCAGUACUUAUCACCUGGAACCAGUUUGAAGAAGAGAAGGCGAGCGUGCAGAGAGCAGGACAGAGCCUCACAACGCUGAAGCAGAUGGCAGGCAGAGAUUCUGGAGAAUCUUUCAGCUUAUCAGCGACCCUGUUUAAAAGUGAUGACUGAAGAUUUUCUCCUGUUUUUGUCACAAUGGGAACGAAUCCAGCAGAGCAGACGCAGACAGACAGACGGACAGAAAACAGAGAGACACUCAUUGACAGGCAGGAAGGACAGAGAGCUAGACGAGCCUGUGACCUUUACAAACAUUCGGUUUAAAUAUCAAAGACAUCAAAAUGGAUUUUUCUUCUUCUGCUCAGGAUGAGAUUCUUUCUCAAAAACAGAGGUGGGGCUAGCUGGCUAACUGUAGGCUGUAAAAACAAUAGGUGAGAUCCAGGGAAGGGAUUUUUGUUUAAGCCAAAGAAGUGUUACAAGCUUUACAAGUUUCACAAGACAAAAGUUAACGACUGGUUGGUGUGACAUUACUCUGCACUGUCCAGUAUAAGGCAAAGAGUUCGAGGCUGCAGUGGCAGCAGAUAAGCCAAGCUAGGCUAGCUAGCCUUUAGCAGUGCUGGUGGUGAUGAGUUUUCUGAGGAAUAAAAAAAACUGGAUUCGUUGCUUGUGUCAUAUCAAAUUGUUAUUUUUUAAGCUACUGGGGUAUCACAUUAAAUCUUGUUGUAAAAUUAGCUUUAGCACCCAAACCUGCAGUUCCACUAAUGUCCACUUGAGGCUGUCUCCAAAAAUGAGUCAGUCCUCAUUGACUCCCACAUUAAAAUGAUCCCUGCUACAAAAAUAAUAUGAGUCUCUAUGGGCUAGCAUCCUGUUUAUACAAACUGUACAGGUGGUAAAAUGUUUAUAACUCACGUUUAAAAACUAUAUUAAGAAUUAAAAUUAGUCUCACGAUUUAAACUCAUUUCAAAAGCAGUUAAGUGACUAAAAAAUUAAUCUUACUUUGUACUUAACUGCACAAACAGACCUUCCACUUCCUAAUAUUUUAUUUAUAUGCUGCAUCGCACUGAUGUGCAGGUAUCUGUGUGUGUUGCUAGGCAAGCUUGCUGGUAUUAGCUCAUCUAUCUACAGUCUUUGGCCUGUUGGGUGCUUUGAAUAUCUAAGCAUUUAAAAUAUAUAUUUAAAUAAAGCCAUAAAGUUUAUACAUGCUACAUGCUGUAAAUGUACACGCCUACUGUGUGCUGGCAUGCGAGCGCCUACAGAGCUGCAUCGGUGGGGUACUAACUGUACUGGAAGCAUAUGGCUGAUGCUAAUGAUCAUUGGCUGGAUAGCACCAUAUGCCACUGGGCUGCUUCUUUCAUCUCACGGUACCACGAGAGAGCUCGUAUUUAGCACCAGCAGCCCCGCGGUGGCAUCCAAACCCAUAAUGUUGGCAGUGUUAAAGCCGUCAUUACCUUCCUAACCACUAAUCUGGACCACGCCAUCCAAACCUGCCUUUAUGGAUAAUGAUUAUGAGAAAUAAACUUCAUCUAUACUUCCAACUUCAUUCCUACUCUGCAUCCUCCUGCCGUAAUGUUCAAUUAAGCUUUAUCUAAAUCCCCCAGUGACACCCUGUUUUUUAUAGCAACCCACGGCUGUGUGACUCACCGUCUGUAGGAGAUAACAGCCGUUAAUUACAGACACAACAGCAUCCUGUUCAAUAAGCUCGUGUUGGAACAAGCACUCAGGUUCUUUAACAGGAUGAGAUACCAAAGAAUUUUAUUGGUUUGAUGCAUUUAAACAUUUCUUAUUUAGACGUUUUAAUGAUGUUGUUAUUUGAU